UACGUAGGUGACCAGCGUUGUCCGGAUUUACUGGGCGUAAAGAGCGCGCAGGCGGUCGUUCAAGUCGAGUGUGAAAGCCCCCGGCUCAACUGGGGAGGGUCACUCGAUACUGAUCGACUUGAAGGCAGGAGAGGGAAGCGGAAUUCCCGGUGUAGUGGUGAAAUGCGUAGAUAUCGGGAGGAACACCAGUGGCGAAGGCGACUACCUGGCCUGUUCUUGACGCUGAGGCGCGAAAGCUAGGGGAGCGAACGGG
This 253-nucleotide ribosomal RNA is filed under the name uncultured bacterium. RNAcentral describes it as "partial 16S ribosomal RNA". It matches the Rfam family "Bacterial small subunit ribosomal RNA", at positions 524 to 776 of the family's 1533-position model. The record is from RNAcentral.